Molecule: non-coding RNA, 555 nt
Filed under: Aureobasidium pullulans
Lineage: Eukaryota; Fungi; Ascomycota; Dothideomycetes; Dothideales; Saccotheciaceae
Also listed under: 1 other name
Description: eukaryotic LSU rRNA
Rfam family: Eukaryotic large subunit ribosomal RNA
Source: RNAcentral
CGGCGAGUGAAGCGGCAACAGCUCAAAUUUGAAAGCUAGCCUUCGGGUUCGCAUUGUAAUUUGUAGAGGAUGAUUUGGGGAAGCCGCCUGUCUAAGUUCCUUGGAACAGGACGUCAUAGAGGGUGAGAAUCCCGUAUGUGACAGGAAAUGGCACCCUAUGUAAAUCUCCUUCGACGAGUCGAGUUGUUUGGGAAUGCAGCUCUAAAUGGGAGGUAAAUUUCUUCUAAAGCUAAAUAUUGGCGAGAGACCGAUAGCGCACAAGUAGAGUGAUCGAAAGAUGAAAAGCACUUUGGAAAGAGAGUUAAAAAGCACGUGAAAUUGUUGAAAGGGAAGCGCUUGCAAUCAGACUUGUUUAAACUGUUCGGCCGGUCUUCUGACCGGUUUACUCAGUUUGGACAGGCCAGCAUCAGUUUCGGCGGCCGGAUAAAGGCUCUGGGAAUGUGGCCUCCACUUCGGUGGAGGUGUUAUAGCCCAGGGUGUAAUACGGCCAGCCGGGACUGAGGUCCGCGCUUCGGCUAGGAUGCUGGCGUAAUGGUUGUAAGCGACCCGUCUUGA